CCUACGGGAGGCUGCAGUCGAGAAUCAUUCACAAUGGGGGAAACCCUGAUGGGGCGACGCCGCGUGGGGGAAUGAAGGUCUUCGGAUUGUACACCCCUGUCAUGUGGGAGCAAAUUAAAAAGAUAGUACCACAAGAGGAAGAGACGGCUAACUCUGUGCCAGCAGCCGCGGUAAUACAGAGGUCUCAAGCGUUGUUCGGAAUCACUGGGCGUAAAGCGUGCGUAGGCUGUUUCGUAAGUCGUGUGUGAAAGGCGCGGGCUCAACCCGCGGACGGCACAUGAUACUGCGAGACUAGAGUAAUGGAGAGGUAACCGGAAUUCUCGGUGUAGCGGUGAAAUGCGUAGAUAUCGAGAGGAACACUCGUGGCGAAGGCGGGUUCCUGGACAUUAACUGACGCUGAGGCACGAAGGCCAGGGGAGCGAAAGGGAUUAGAUACCCGGGUAGUC
Molecule: ribosomal RNA, 446 nt
Filed under: uncultured bacterium
Lineage: Bacteria
Description: partial 16S ribosomal RNA
Rfam family: Bacterial small subunit ribosomal RNA
Source: RNAcentral